CCUGAAAGGUGACGACUUACUUGCUACCACACAGGCGCACAUACCCGAAAAUAAGCAUCUAAGACAGAUUGAUAGCUCUUUCUCGAAUUUAUGGAUGGUGGUACAUGGACUGAUUGAUUCAUGGACUUAUUUGUCUCGUUAAUUGCGAUAAUAAACGAGUCUUAAAUAUGUUAAGUAGAUGCUUUCACGAUUACGAUGUUGAAGCCAUGAAAACGGAACCGUACCUCCUGGCUUCUUAAAUACACAAUGGAAUAUUGGAAUUGAGUAAUAACAGGUUCUGUAAUGAUCUUAGUUGUCAUCGGCCACACGCUGGAUAAAUCAAACCAACCGCUAAACCAAUGUCAUGGGUUAUGAACUGCAACUGUGCGUAUGACCUUGAAAUUCUCAGCAAGUGAGAAUCAUUAGUUCGUAUUGAUUACGUCCC
This 424-nucleotide non-coding RNA is filed under the name Glossina morsitans morsitans. Its description in RNAcentral is "eukaryotic small subunit ribosomal RNA". It matches the Rfam family "Eukaryotic small subunit ribosomal RNA", at positions 1170 to 1653 of the family's 1831-position model. Lineage: Eukaryota; Metazoa; Arthropoda; Insecta; Diptera; Glossinidae. The record is from RNAcentral.